GGCCCAAGUUUUUCUAAAUUGAAAUACACUGAUGCAUAUCUCCUACUAAUUCGGAGGGAUCAAUUCCAUCUUGACUCAUGCACCGACUUGAUAAGUACUUGACUGUAUCCAAAAAUCUUUUAUCACUGAAUUAGAAGCUUAGUUAGUAUGACAUCAAAGUACAGUGAGUUGCUUACAAGUCACCGUGGUGAUCUCAGGUCGGAGGGACACUUAUACCCAUACCCUUCGUGAGCUACCCUUGACAGUAGAGUACUUCGCAGUUGGCCAUGUUCAGUGAUGAUGUACUCCUACAUCUCACGUGCAUGCCAUAUCAGUAUCUUUAUACCAUUUGGUUAUGAAGAUAAUCAAUGAUAUGGCACACAACGAUCUAAACUUGAUAUCGCUAUCGUCUUAGUAACAGCGUAUCGUUUGGUCAC
RNAcentral lists this long non-coding RNA (416 nucleotides) under Elaeis guineensis (African oil palm). RNAcentral's name for it is "long non-coding RNA (EGUI_LNC047959)". Lineage: Eukaryota; Viridiplantae; Streptophyta; Magnoliopsida; Arecales; Arecaceae. The record is from RNAcentral.